This 324-nucleotide ribosomal RNA is filed under the name uncultured soil bacterium. RNAcentral's name for it is "bacterial SSU rRNA". It matches the Rfam family "Bacterial small subunit ribosomal RNA", at positions 26 to 351 of the family's 1533-position model. The record is from RNAcentral.
AGAUUGAACGCUAGCGGGAUGCUUUACACAUGCAAGUCGAACGGCAGCGCGGACUUCGGUCUGGCGGCGAGUGGCGAACGGGUGAGUAAUAUAUCGGAACGUGCCCAGUAGCGGGGGAUAACUACGCGAAAGCGUGGCUAAUACCGCAUACGCCCGUACGGGGGAAAGGGGGGGAUCGCAAGACCUCUCACUAUUGGAGCGGCCGAUAUCAGAUUAGCUAGUUGGUGAGGUAAAGGCUCACCAAGGCGACGAUCUGUAGCUGGUUUGAGAGGACGACCAGCCACACUGGGACUGAGACACGGCCCAGACUCCUACGGGAGGCAG